AACGAACGCUGGCGGCAUGCCUAACACAUGCAAGUCGAACGAGAUCUUCGGGUCUAGUGGCGCACGGGUGCGUAACGCGUGGGAAUCUGCCCUUUGGUUCGGAAUAACAGUUGGAAACGACUGCUAAUACCGGAUGAUGACGAAAGUCCAAAGAUUUAUCGCCAGAGGAUGAGCCCGCGUAGGAUUAGCUAGUUGGUGUGGUAAAGGCGCACCAAGGCGACGAUCCUUAGCUGGUCUGAGAGGAUGAUCAGCCACUGGGACUGAGACACGGCCCAGACUCCUACGGGAGGCAGCAGUGGGGAAUAUUGGACAAUGGGCGAAAGCCUGAUCCAGCAAUGCCGCGUGAGUGAUGAAGGCCUUAGGGUUGUAAAGCUCUUUUACCCGGGAUGAUAAUGACAGUACCGGGAGAAUAAGCUCCGGCUAACUCCGUGCCAGCAGCCGCGGUAAUACGGAGGGAGCUAGCGUUGUUCGGAAUUACUGGGCGUAAAGCGCACGUAGGCGGCUUUGUAAGUUAGAGGUGAAAGCCUGGAGCUCAACUCCAGAACUGCCUUUAAGACUGCAUCGCUUGAAUCCAGGAGAGGUGGGUGGAAUUCCGAGUGUAGAGGUGAAAUUCGUAGAUAUUCGGAAGAACACCAGUGGCGAAGGCGGCUCACUGGACUGGUAUUGACGCUGA
This 673-nucleotide ribosomal RNA is filed under the name uncultured bacterium. RNAcentral describes it as "bacterial SSU rRNA". It matches the Rfam family "Bacterial small subunit ribosomal RNA", at positions 28 to 749 of the family's 1533-position model. The record is from RNAcentral.